RNAcentral lists this ribosomal RNA (497 nucleotides) under uncultured bacterium. Its description in RNAcentral is "partial 16S ribosomal RNA". It matches the Rfam family "Bacterial small subunit ribosomal RNA", at positions 28 to 507 of the family's 1533-position model. The record is from RNAcentral.
GAUGAACGCUGGCGGCGUGCCUAAUACAUGCAAGUCGAGCGAACAGAUGAGGAGCUUGCUCCUUCGACGUUAGCGGCGGACGGGUGAGUAACACGUGGGUAACCUACCUAUAAGACUGGGAUAACUUCGGGAAACCGGAGCUAAUACCGGAUAAUAUUUCGAACCGCACGGUUCUAUAGUGAAAGAUGGCUUUGCUAUCACUUAUAGAUGGACCUGCGCCGUAUUAGCUAGUUGGUAAGGUAACGGCUUACCAAGGCAACGAUACGUAGCCGACCUGAGAGGGUGAUCGGCCACACUGGAACUGAGACACGGUCCAGACUCCUACGGGAGGCAGCAGUAGGGAAUCUUCCGCAAUGGGCGAAAGCCUGACGGAGCAACGCCGCGUGAGUGAUGAAGGUCUUCGGAUCGUAAAACUCUGUUAUUAGGGAAGAACAAACGUGUAAGUAACUGUGCACGUCUUGACGGUACCUAAUCAGAAAGCCACGGCUAACUACGUG